UACGUAGGUGGCAAGCGUUGUCCGGAAUUAUUGGGCGUAAAGCGCGCGCAGGCGGUCCUUUAAGUCUGAUGUGAAAGCCCUCGGCUCAACCGAGGAGGGUCAUUGGAAACUGGAGGACUUGAGUGCAGAAGAGGAAAGUGGAAUUCCAAGUGUAGCGGUGAAAUGCGUAGAGAUUUGGAGGAACACCAGUGGCGAAGGCGACUUUCUGGUCUGUAACUGACGCUGAGGCGCGAAAGCGUGGGGAGCAAAC
Molecule: ribosomal RNA, 250 nt
Filed under: uncultured Lysinibacillus sp.
Lineage: Bacteria; Bacillati; Bacillota; Bacilli; Caryophanales; Bacillaceae
Description: partial 16S ribosomal RNA
Rfam family: Bacterial small subunit ribosomal RNA
Source: RNAcentral